Corvus hawaiiensis (hawaiian crow) is the source of this 348-nucleotide long non-coding RNA. RefSeq lists it as uncharacterized. The transcript has 3 exons. The record is from RefSeq and is a predicted model, not a curated record. Lineage: Eukaryota; Metazoa; Chordata; Aves; Passeriformes; Corvidae.
CAGCGCUGACACGACUCUGCGGUUUGCCCUUGCUGAGAACGUAGGAGGAGAGGUCAGUCUUGGAGGUAGAGGGGAUUUCCUGGGAAGUUCUGCAGAGUCCUGGCAAUCUGUGUCCAUCAUUGUCUCCAUCUCUCAGCCACUCUCCUGACUGAUGCUUGUCCUUCAAGAGCGGGGGAUCUCCCCUCAGAACGCCAAAGGAAUUAAUCUGCCUUUCCAUUCAAUCAACUGAGAUUUUUCACGUGUUUUCAGUGAUGCUGAGAGGUGACAACAAUCACUGUAAAAAACGCAGGCUGACAGUAUCUUCCAUUCUCCAAUUCUCAGCUGAGUACUUGACACUUUCACUUUCAU